UGGGGAAUAUUGGACAAUGGGCGCAAGCCUGAUCCAGCCAUACCGCGUGAGUGAUGAAGGCCUUAGGGUUGUAAAGCUCUUUUAGCGGGGAAGAUAAUGACGGUACCCGCAGAAAAAGCCCCGGCUAACUUCGUGCCAGCAGCCGCGGUAAUACGAAGGGGGCUAGCGUUGCUCGGAAUUACUGGGCGUAAAGCGCACGUAGGCGGACUCUUAAGUUGGUGGUGAAAUCCUGGAGCUCAACUCCAGAACUGCCUUCGAUACUGGGAGUCUUGAGUUCGGGAGAGGUGAGUGGAACUGCGAGUGUAGAGGUGAAAUUCGUAGAUAUUCGCAAGAACACCAGUGGCGAAGGCGGCUCACUGGCCCGAUACUGACGCUGAGGUGCGAAAGCGUGGGGAGCAAACA
This 402-nucleotide ribosomal RNA is filed under the name uncultured bacterium. Its description in RNAcentral is "bacterial SSU rRNA". It matches the Rfam family "Bacterial small subunit ribosomal RNA", at positions 355 to 774 of the family's 1533-position model. The record is from RNAcentral.